AAGUCGUAACAAGGUUUCCGUAGGUGAACCUGCGGAAGGAUCAUUACCUAGAGUCAGUGGGCUUUGCCUGCUAUCUCUUACCCAUGUUUUAUGAGCACUUACGUUUCCUCGGUGGGUUCGCCCACCGAUUGGACCACUUAAACCCUUUGCAGUUUUGUAAUCAGCGUCUGAAAAACUUAAUAGUUACAACUUUCAACAACGGAUCUCUUGGUUCUG
This 216-nucleotide unclassified non-coding RNA is filed under the name Neodidymelliopsis cannabis. RNAcentral's name for it is "partial internal transcribed spacer region". The stretch from base 1 to 46 matches the Rfam family "Eukaryotic small subunit ribosomal RNA", at positions 1786 to 1831 of the family's 1831-position model. RNAcentral also lists the same sequence under 2 other names. Lineage: Eukaryota; Fungi; Ascomycota; Dothideomycetes; Pleosporales; Didymellaceae. The record is from RNAcentral.